RNAcentral lists this ribosomal RNA (405 nucleotides) under Cryptosporidium sp. RNAcentral's name for it is "partial small subunit ribosomal RNA". It matches the Rfam family "Eukaryotic small subunit ribosomal RNA", at positions 677 to 1091 of the family's 1831-position model. Lineage: Eukaryota; Apicomplexa; Conoidasida; Eucoccidiorida; Cryptosporidiidae. The record is from RNAcentral.
AAAUUAUAUAUUUUUUUUAUAUUUAUAUAAUAUUAACAUAAUUCAUAUUACUAUAUUAUAUUAGUAUAUGAAAUUUUACUUUGAGAAAAUUAGAGUGCUUAAAGCAGGCAUAUGCCUUGAAUACUCCAGCAUGGAAUAAUAUAAAAGAUUUUUAUCUUUUUUAUUGGUUCUAAGAUAAAAAUAAUGAUUAAUAGGGACAGUUGGGGGCAUUUGUAUUUAACAGUCAGAGGUGAAAUUCUUAGAUUUGUUAAAGACAAACUAGUGCGAAAGCAUUUGCCAAGGAUGUUUUCAUUAAUCAAGAACGAAAGUUAGGGGAUCGAAGACGAUCAGAUACCGUCGUAGUCUUAACCAUAAACUAUGCCAACUAGAGAUUGGAGGUUGUUCCUUACUCCUUCAGCACCUUAA